RNAcentral lists this ribosomal RNA (443 nucleotides) under uncultured bacterium. RNAcentral describes it as "partial 16S ribosomal RNA". It matches the Rfam family "Bacterial small subunit ribosomal RNA", at positions 338 to 795 of the family's 1533-position model. The record is from RNAcentral.
CCUACGGGAGGCAGCAGUGGGGAAUAUUGGGCAAUGGGCGCAAGCCUGACCCAGCAACGCCGCGUGAAGGAAGAAGGCUUUCGGGUUGUAAACUUCUUUUCUGAGGGACGAAGAAAGUGACGGUACCUCAGGAAUAAGCCACGGCGAACUACGUGCCAGCAGCCGCGGUAAUACUGAGGUGGCAAGCGUUAUCCGGAUUGAUUGGGUGUAAAGGGCGUGUAGGCAGGAAAGCAAGUCAGAUGGGAAAACUCAGGGCUAAACCCUGAUCCUGCAUUUGAAACUGUUUUUAUUGAGUGCUGGGGAGGCAAUCGGAAUUCCGUGUGUAGCGGUGAAAUGCGUAGAUAUACGGAGGAACACCAGUGGCGAAGGCGGAUUGCUGGACAGUAACUGACGCUGAGGCGCGAAAGCGUGGGGAGCAAACAGGAUUAGAUACCCCAGUAGUC